Pelobates cultripes (western spadefoot toad) is the source of this 355-nucleotide non-coding RNA. Lineage: Eukaryota; Metazoa; Chordata; Amphibia; Anura; Pelobatidae. The record is from the annotation of a GenBank genome assembly.
UUUAUUAUUGUUACUUUCUGUAAGGUAUGGGCAAGGGAUCACCUUUUAUCUGCCCAUGUGAUGGCAAUAUGCCACAAGUAUGUCCAGUGUCCUUGACAUAUAGUGUUUCUCUUCUGACUUGCAAACAAUUUGUCCAGUAAUGUUCCAUCCCUAUGCCACAAAUGAUGCAAAAUUCUCUCAACCCUGUCCAGUAACUAAAACAUUCCAAAACAAUACGUCCUACUUCCAUAAUCAAUUCCCAUGAAAGAUACAUGGAAAAUAAAGAUGUAGAAGUGAAUGUAACUGUGUGCAGUAUUCCAGCUUCUCUCAAAAGAAGAUGCACUGGACUUAUUGAGGAUCGUGUGGUCCCAGAAAU